This 71-nucleotide transfer RNA is filed under the name Marmota monax (woodchuck). It matches the Rfam family "tRNA". Rfam says of the family: Transfer RNA (tRNA) molecules are approximately 80 nucleotides in length. Their secondary structure includes four short double-helical elements and three loops (D, anti-codon, and T loops). Lineage: Eukaryota; Metazoa; Chordata; Mammalia; Rodentia; Sciuridae. The record is from Rfam by way of RNAcentral.
GGGACUGUAGCUCAGUGGUAGAGUGCUUUCCUAGCAUGCAUGAGGCACUGGGUUCGAUUCUCAGCACCUCA